UACGGAGGGUGCAAGCGUUAAUCGGAAUUACUGGGCGUAAAGCGUGCGUAGGCGGUUUAUUAAGUCAGAUGUGAAAGCCCCGGGCUUAACCUGGGAACUGCAUUUGAAACUGGUAAACUAGAGUAUGGUAGAGGAAAGUGGAAUUUCUGGUGUAGCGGUGAAAUGCGUAGAUAUCAGAAGGAACAUCAAUGGCGAAGGCAGCUUUCUGGACCAAUACUGACGCUGAGGUACGAAAGCGUGGGUAGCAAACAGG
This 253-nucleotide ribosomal RNA is filed under the name uncultured bacterium. Its description in RNAcentral is "partial 16S ribosomal RNA". It matches the Rfam family "Bacterial small subunit ribosomal RNA", at positions 524 to 776 of the family's 1533-position model. The record is from RNAcentral.